GUGUCAGCCGCCGCGGUAAUACGGAGGGUGCAAGCGUUAAUCGGAAUUACUGGGCGUAAAGCGUGUGUAGGUGGUUCGUUAAGUCGGAUGUGAAAGCCCCGGGCUCAACCUGGGAACUGCAUUCGAUACUGACGGACUAGAGUUUAGCAGAGGAAAGCGGAAUUCCGGGUGUAGCGGUGAAAUGCGUAGAUAUCCGGAGGAACACCAGUGGCGAAGGCGGCUUUCUGGGUUAAAACUGACACUGAGGCACGAAAGCGUGGGUAGCAAACAGGAUUAGAUACCCUGGUAGUCCACGCCCUAAACGAUGUCGACUGGCUGUCGGGUUCAUUUGGAACUUGGUAGCGAAGCUAACGCGUUAAGUCGACCGCCUGGGGAGUACGGCCGCAAGGUUGAAACUCAAAUGAAUUGACGGGG
This 414-nucleotide ribosomal RNA is filed under the name uncultured prokaryote. RNAcentral describes it as "bacterial SSU rRNA". It matches the Rfam family "Bacterial small subunit ribosomal RNA", at positions 505 to 918 of the family's 1533-position model. The record is from RNAcentral.